GGCGUCUCCGCUCCGGCCGCACGCUGCGGCCCGGGAGGCCCCGACGACGGCAGCGGCGGUGCUGGUGGCUUCACUCCCGGCGGCGCGGUGGUGUCCCGGCUUCGCCCCCCCGGGCAAAGGGCAUCCUCGGGCGGGCCGCCUGUGGGGUGGAAAAUGGCAGCUGCCCACCAGCACAGGCCGCGGCAGCUCUGCUGGCCAGAGGUGUCCGGGAUGCGCUGCCUGCUCAGGGGAUUGAAUGUCGCCUCUAGGACAACGUGUCACUUCAGUUCGUCCUUGCUCAGAAGCCAGGUGAAACGGGAGGAAGGCCAGAGAGCCCCCAAAGGCUGUAGGUGAACUUCAGCAUUCUUCUGAAGCCCACCAAGUCCUGCAUCUUCUGGAGCUCAGGGGAAGGAAAAAGCUCAGGCAUCUGCUUCUUCAGUUCAGUAACCAGCAGAUGACCCUCAACUGGGUUUUGCCAUCUAUAUAACACAUUUUUUUUAUACUAGAUGAUAUAAAACAUCAACAGUCUUACAUACCCAGUAAAAUGCACUACACAACAUGAUUAAAGUCCCAUAUGUUUGUUCAGAAUCACUCACGUGUAUGUAAAGUCACUGGUGCAAAGCUAGAGAGGGCAGUGACUCCCACCCUGUGUGUGCAGAAUGGCAGAGCAGACUUUUGGCGAACGAAGAAAUGUGCAGAGAACUUAAUUCUAAAAGCUUUUUGUGCAAAGAGCUUCCAAGAAAUGUUAGAAAGCGCUACAACACCUGUCCAGAAAUAAAAAAAGGCAUCCACGUAACAACUGGUGGUACACCCACUGGGCUGUACUCAGCUGUCAUGCCACAGAAGCUGUGAGGAACAGGUAAUACCAACAAUGACUGGUGACACAUUUAUUUGCUGGGAACUAUCUAUGUACCAGAUGAGUAAUUCUCACAGUACACCUGUGGGAUGGAAAAAUAUUUUCUCUGCCUUAUAAGAAAGAGUUUAGUCCAGAAUAUUUAGAAAGCCAACAAAAUAAUUCAGUGGAACAGGCAGAAAUUCCUCUUCUCUCAUACAUUCUGUCACUAAGACACCCUGUCCUAAAAAUAUACCCAAGUUGUGCAAACAUACCCCAGUAUCUUUCAUAAUUAUCAUGUGUUUGUUUCACCCUGUUCUUGUUUCAGUAAUAUCACAAUAUUAUUUUUGUUUUAUUGCUUUGCUUUAUAAAUGUUUACAGUACCUAAAACAUAACUAAUGAUAAUCAGGAAUUUUUAUCUUGCAGUAAAUUAAGCAAGCUGAUAGCAGCAGAGGGAAUAGUGUGGAAUGAGGAGAAUAUGGUUGAAACAAUGUAGUUUUAUAUAUUAACAGCAUAUAUGUUGAGUGUUUGAAUUUGCUGGUUUAAUAGAGAAAAUAUUAUCAUAAUAUAUUGUGGGUAUAAUAAAGAAAACAGCCUUUUCUUUUCAGGACAAAGGGGUUUUUUUGGUGAAGUAUUCAAUUUCUAAAGUCAAGAGACCCCCCCCCCCACCAAGCUUCAUUCAGCAGGUGAAUAAUGCUUGUGACAGGUAGAUCUACUACAUGCCUCAAGAAUGGCAUUUUUGUGUUGGCAAAUUUUGCAUCCAGGCUUUUCUGCUCUCUAAAACUUCACUUUGUAGACGCAUGUUGUUUGUACUGGUACAGCAUUUCAUCUCCCGAGCAAAAUUUUGUAGUAUUCUGCAAAAACAGUGCUGGCACCCAGUUUGGAGGGUGUGUUUAUAGACAUGGGGUGGUACUCUUUGAAAAGGGGUCCUACAGCUGUUGCCUGAACUGUAGUAAUAAUUUAGGUUAUUGGAAGAGAGUGAAGGUAUCUGCAGAUGGAGCACACAGUGGUUGCACUCUAGGAGGACACUGAAGACCAGCAUGUGUGAAUCUAACAACACUUGUUCUAUAAAGUGUUCCACUGUAGUUUCACAUAAAUCUUGCUGCUGGAGCAAACUUAAUCCUAGUGAGCAGAGAGAUCUCUUCACUGAAACUGAUGGCUGUUGCAGAACUUUAAUUAGUCUCAGUACCUAUAAUAAUGCAUUUAGUAACACGCUUUAGUGUUUUAAAAGACUUGUAAAAUCUACUUUCCCUAAUUCUCUGCCUCUCUAACUGCCUUGCCAAGACCUAUUUCUCCUGUGAGGUCUACAGAAAAGCCCAACUACAAGCACUAAAUGGUACCUGGCAAAAUUGAUGCUUAAUAUUUACCUAAUCCCAAAUCAAUGAUCAUAAAUGUGUAUGUAUAUAUAGGCAUUGUAAAUAUGGAAUUAUCUUUCUCUUCCCUCAUGCUUCUUUUAUUGGUCUUUGGAGUCUUAUUUAUAGUCUUAACGAUUUUCUGUGAAUGGCUGAACAGAAUAAUUUUACCUCAGAGAGAAAUUGCAUCAUGCUGAUCUCACUACACUGGAUCUGUACUGGCCUCAUCCCCCUGGUUUUAGUCUUCAUUUAAAACUAAUGAGAAUGUGGCCACCACUAGCAUACCAUUUUCUGUGAAGAAUGAAGCAGGUUUGACCCUGCUGAAGUGUCCAGGGGUGCUGUGCUCUGAACAGAAACAAGAUAACAUCUGUGAUUAAAAAGAGAGAGGAAGUAUUGGAAUUACAUUUAUAGCUGUGUGAAAUUGCUAUAAUUUGAAUCCUGCUUUUAUGAUGCAGACUAGGAACUGACCAAAGUCACGUCUCAUUCUGACCUCCAAACAGGACCCUGUGUUUGCACUCUAACAAUGCUGUUUCAUCUCUCAAUAUGUUGUUUUCUUCCUGUGAAAGUGGGGCCAAGGCUGCCAAAGCUCUUAGGGCUGCUAAACCUUAAUUAAUGUCAGUGUAGCAGUCUGAGAUUCUUUUCUUAUUUUCCUUUCUUCAGUAACAUAAAUCUAAGACUGUUAUUUUAUUUUCUCUCUUGUUUUUGUAGUCUGCAAUUGUCUGCAACCUUUCAAGCCUUCAGUCCCUCCAAAAUCCGGUUCUUUCCAGUGGAUUUCUCUAUCUUUGCUGAUGUUUUAUUCUACUAUGUCCAGAAUCUGUUACCUAUGUUAUGCCAUCUUCAAAAGUUAAACUCUCCUCAAGAUAAUUCACAACCUUAAAUGAAGAUAUUUAAUGACAUAGAAAGGUCAUUAAAUAUCUUUGUCAGGUCUUUGUCAGGUUAAGUGGCUUCUUAAACAGAAGAGUUCUGAGGAAGACCACAUAUUUAUUUGUGAAACUGGAUGGAUGUAAGUUUCUGCCACUGCCACACAAAGUACAGAUAAUCCAUUGAUUCAGAAGGAAAGUGGAUGCAUUUACAUUGUCUGGCUGAUGCCUGUACAAAGCUAGUGUUGCUCAACUUACAGCAGCAAUAACUCAGCAUGAGAGCUGCUUCUAAACCUACUUUAUUUGCAGUGGUUCAUAAUUUCUGUUGAUCAUAAUCAAGGCUUUCAAUGUCCACUGCUCUAGAACGAGUACCUCUUCUGCUGGUGAACACUCAGGGCUGGAUUAUGGACUUUGUUUUAUUAAAAGGGUGUGAUCAGAGAUUAAUUCAGUGAGGAUCUCACUGUGAAAGUGAUUUUCAAAAAAGAGCUGCUACUGUCAUUUAAGUAGCAUUGAUGGAAGGGAUGAGGAAUGAGG
This is a long non-coding RNA of Passer domesticus (house sparrow), 3557 nucleotides long. RefSeq lists it as uncharacterized. The record is from RefSeq and is a predicted model, not a curated record. The transcript has 3 exons. Lineage: Eukaryota; Metazoa; Chordata; Aves; Passeriformes; Passeridae.